UCUCCUGGACUCACGUGACCC
This 21-nucleotide microRNA is filed under the name Equus caballus (horse). Its description in RNAcentral is "eca-miR-9076". Lineage: Eukaryota; Metazoa; Chordata; Mammalia; Perissodactyla; Equidae. The record is from miRBase by way of RNAcentral.